This 69-nucleotide transfer RNA is filed under the name Ochotona nubrica (Nubra pika). RNAcentral's name for it is "tRNA-Gly". It matches the Rfam family "tRNA". Rfam says of the family: Transfer RNA (tRNA) molecules are approximately 80 nucleotides in length. Their secondary structure includes four short double-helical elements and three loops (D, anti-codon, and T loops). Further hydrogen bonds mediate the characteristic L-shaped molecular structure. tRNAs have two regions of fundamental functional importance: the anti-codon, which is responsible for specific mRNA codon recognition, and the 3' end, to which the tRNAs corresponding amino acid is attached (by aminoacyl-tRNA synthetases). tRNAs cope with the degeneracy of the genetic code in two manners: having more than one tRNA (with a specific anti-codon) for a particular amino acid; and 'wobble' base-pairing, i.e. permitting non-standard base-pairing at the 3rd anti-codon position. Lineage: Eukaryota; Metazoa; Chordata; Mammalia; Lagomorpha; Ochotonidae. The record is from RNAcentral.
ACUUCUUUAGUAUAAUUAGUACAACUGACUUCCAAUCAGCCAGUUCUGGUUCUAAUCCAGAAUGAAGUA